AACGAACGCUGGCGGCAUGCCUAACACAUGCAAGUCGAACGAGACCUUCGGGUCUAGUGGCGCACGGGUGCGUAACGCGUAUGCAAUCUACCUUUUACAGAGGGAUAGCCCAGAGAAAUUUGGAUUAAUACCUCAUAGUAUAACGACUCGGCAUCGAGAUGUUAUUAAAGUUCCAACGGUAAAAGAUGAGCAUGCGUCCCAUUAGCUUGUUGGUAAGGUAACGGCUUACCAAGGCAACGAUGGGUAGGGGUCCUGAGAGGGAGAUCCCCCACACUGGUACUGAGACACGGACCAGACUCCUACGGGAGGCAGCAGUGAGGAAUAUUGGUCAAUGGGCGCAAGCCUGAACCAGCCAUGCCGCGUGCAGGAUGACGGUCCUAUGGAUUGUAAACUGCUUUUGUACAGGAAGAAACACUCCCUCGUGAGGGAGCUUGACGGUACUGUAAGAAUAAGGAUCGGCUAACUCCGUGCCAGCAGCCGCGGUAAUACGGAGGAUCCAAGCGUUAUCCGGAAUCAUUGGGUUUAAAGGGUCCGUAGGCGGGUUUAUAAGUCAGUGGUGAAAGCCCAUCGCUCAACGAUGGAACGGCCAUUGAUACUGUAGAUCUUGAAUUAUUAGGAAGUAACUAGAAUAUGUAGUGUAGCGGUGAAAUGCUUAGAGAUUACAUGGAAUACCAAUUGCGAAGGCAGGUUACUACUAAUGGAUUGACGCUGAUGGACGAAAGCGUGGGUAGCAAACAGGAUUAGAUACCCUGGUAGUCCACGCCGUAAACGAUGAAUGUUAGCCGUCGGGCAGUAUACUGUUCGGUGGCGCAGCUAACGCAUUAAACAUUCCGCCUGGGGAGUACGGUCGCAGAUUAA
Molecule: ribosomal RNA, 858 nt
Filed under: uncultured bacterium
Lineage: Bacteria
Description: bacterial SSU rRNA
Rfam family: Bacterial small subunit ribosomal RNA
Source: RNAcentral